RNAcentral lists this ribosomal RNA (113 nucleotides) under Pteropus alecto (black flying fox). The record is from RNAcentral. RNAcentral also lists the same sequence under 1 other name. Lineage: Eukaryota; Metazoa; Chordata; Mammalia; Chiroptera; Pteropodidae.
GUCUACAGCCAUGCCACCUUGAACAAGGGUGUCUGAUCUUGGAAGCUAAGCAGGAUCGGGCCUGGUUAGUACUUAGAUGGGAGAUCACCUAGGAAGACCAGGUGCUGUAAGCA